RNAcentral lists this ribosomal RNA (253 nucleotides) under uncultured bacterium. Its description in RNAcentral is "partial 16S ribosomal RNA". It matches the Rfam family "Bacterial small subunit ribosomal RNA", at positions 524 to 776 of the family's 1533-position model. The record is from RNAcentral.
UACGUAGGGUGCGAGCGUUGUCCGGAAUUAUUGGGCGUAAAGGGCUCGUAGGCGGUUUGUCGCGUCGGGAGUGAAAACACCGGGCUUAACUCGGUGCUUGCUUUCGAUACGGGCAGACUAGAGGCAUGCAGGGGAGAACGGAAUUCCUGGUGUAGCGGUGAAAUGCGCAGAUAUCAGGAGGAACACCGGUGGCGAAGGCGGUUCUCUGGGCAUGUCCUGACGCUGAGGAGCGAAAGUGUGGGGAGCGAACAAG